Long non-coding RNA from Oncorhynchus tshawytscha (Chinook salmon), 4726 nucleotides. Lineage: Eukaryota; Metazoa; Chordata; Actinopteri; Salmoniformes; Salmonidae. The record is from Ensembl.
GUGUACAUGUAGGUAGAGGUAAAGUGACUAUGCAUAGAUAAUAAACAGAGAGUAGUACCAGCGUAAAAGAGAGGGGAGGGGGUCAAUGCAAAUAGUCUGGGUAGCCAUUUGAUGAACUGUUCAGCAGUCUUAUGGCUUGGGGGUACAAGCUGUUAAGGAGUCUGUUGGUCCAAGACGUGGCGCUCCGGUACCGCUGGCUAUGUGGUAGCAGAGAGAACCGUCUAUGACUUGGGUCUUUGACAAUUUUUUGGGCCUUCCUCUGACAAGCCUAUUAUAUAGGUCCUGGAUGGCAGGAAGCUUGGCCCCAGUGAUGUACUGGGCCGUACACACUACUCUCCGUCGCACCUUUUAAAUUGUUUUUCAAACAUUUCAUUUAACUAGGCAAGUCAGUGAAAGAAGAAAUUCUUAUUUUCAAUGAUGGCCUAGGAACAGUGGGUUAACUGGUCUAGGAACAGUGGGUUAACUGGUCUAGGAACAGUGGGUUAACUGGCCUAGGAACAGUGGGUUAACUGGUCUAGGAACAGUGGGUUAACUGGUCUUGGAACAGUGGGUUAACUGGUCUUGGAACAGUGGGUUAACUGGUCUAGGAACCGUAACUGCCUUGUUCAGGGGCAGAACGACAGAUUUGAACUUGCAACCUUUCGGUUACUAGCCCAAAGCUCUAGGCUACACCACUAGGCUACACUGCCGCCUUACGGUCAGAUGCCGAGCAGUUGCCAUACCAGGCGGUGAUGCAACCAGUCCAGAUGCUCUCGAUGGUGCAGCUGUAGAACCUUUUGAGGAUCUGGGGACCAUUGCCAAAUCUUUUCAGUCUCUUGAGGGGGAAAAGGUGUUGUCGUGCCCUCCCUUUGUUUUUACACUGCUGCUGCUCGUUGUUUAUUAUCUAUGCAUAGUCACUUUACCCAUACCUACAUGUUCAAAUUACCUUGAUUAUCCUGUACCCCCUGUAUAUAGCCUCGUUAUUAACCUGUACCCCUGCACACUGACUCGGUACCCCCUGUAUAUAGCCUCGUUACUAAUUUGUACCCCUGUAUAUAGUCUCAUUACUAACCUGUACCCCUGUAUAUAGUCUCAUUACUAACCUGUACCCCCUGUAUUUAGCCUCAUUACUAACCUGUACCCACUGUAUAUAGCCUCAAUACUAACCUGUACCCCCAACACACUGACUCGGUACUCCCUGGAUAUAGCCUCAAUCCUAACCUGUAUCCCCGCACAUUGACCCAGUAUCCCCUGUAUAUAGCCUUGUUAUUGUUAUUUUAUUGUUACUUUCUAUUUAGUCAAUCUUUCUUUAACUCUAUUUCUUUCAUGGUAUCCAAUUGGUAGUAGUUACUGUCUUGUCUCAUCGCUGCAACUCCCGUACGAAUUCGGGAGAGGCGAAGGUCGAGAGCCGUGCGUCCUCCAAAGCACAACCCAACCAAGCCGCACUGCUUCUUGACACAAUGUCCACUUAACCCGGAAGCCAGCCGCACCAAUGUGUCCGAGGAAACACCGUACACCCGGCGACCGUGUCAUCGUGCACUGCGCCCGGUCCGCCACAGGAGUCGUUAGUGCAGGAUGGGACAAGAACGUCCCUGCCGGACAAACCUUCCCCUAACCUGGACGACGCCAAUUGUGCACCGGCCCAUGGGUUUCUCGGUCGCGGCCAGCUGCGACAAAGCCUGGGCUCGAACCCAGAAUCUCUGCGCCACUCGGGAGGCCAACUUAACUCUAUUUCUUGAACUGCAUUGGUUAAGGGCUUGUAAGUAAGCGUUUCACAGUAAGGUUGUUGUAUUCGGCGCAUGUGACAAAUACAAUUUGAUUUGAGCUAAUAUUGUGAAUAAUUGUUUUGUAGAGUUUUGAAAAAGCAAUUGUGUCAGGUGCCAGCAUUGGGGUUGCCAGUCCUAAAAUGAUCUUUUAAAAUGUUUGUUCAUUAACAUGAAGGGCAUUGUAAUGCAAUGGUUACAUAAAAUCAUGGGGGAAAUCAUUAGUGACGUGAUAAAUGGCGCCAGGUCGAAGUACAGGCUACAUAAAGGGUACUGUUGGGAUGGAUUAAAACACGAUUAAUGAGUGGAGGACAUUUUUCAUUCUCAUGUUUUGUUUGUAGUUAAAACUGUUGUGUUGCUGAUUUAAGAUAUAGCAUAGUGAAAAACUAACAAAAUGUUUAUUUUCUCUUUCAGGAGAGGAUGGGGUGUACCUAUCUCUCCCUUUGAAAUGUUUCCCGAGGCUAAUGCCUUGGGAGAUUAGUUCGUGAAAUUCUGAAUUUUUACAAAGUAUAAAGGUAUCCGGAUUUGACCGUAAAAGGGAGCUCCCAAAUAACUACGGCCUGGCCAUUUUGUUUGUUUUUGCUCUAUGUUUUACACACCAGAACACGCACAUGCACACAAAACCCACCGGUUAUGAAUAUAUGUUAGUGGUGUUAAUAGCGUGAUUGAUUUAUUGUGUUUGUUCUUUUGUUUGUAAAAUGGAAUGAUGGAAAUGUUUUAGGAAGUACAGGGAAAGGAAAAGACUUAAUGGUGUUGAAUGUGACUUUCUGGUGAUGCCUGAUCAACCUCACUAGAAAUGAGACAUUGGGUUUGAGUAUAACAUGAAGAAGUGUAUUGCUGUUGUUGUUGUUGUUUUUGUCUUUGUUUUCGAUACAAAUCUCACCAGAUUGGGUCGGGAUGUCUCCCUUGGACCACCCUCCAAGAUGGCAACGGGGAUUCCCCCAAGGGCAUAAGGCAAGGGGUCCAGAGGUUUCCUGGUUAUGUUAACAUGGGGUAAAAAUUGCCCCACCACUCUGGGACCUAUGGUGCCACCAGUCUGACCGCUCUGGGACCUAUGGUGCCACCAGUCUGACCGCUCUGGGACCUAUGGUGCCACCAGUCUGACCGCUCUGGGACCUAUGGUGCCACCAGUCUGACCGCUCUGGGACCUAUGGUGCCACCAGUCUGCUUGCAGUUGUCAGUUAUCACCAGCUAAGUCCUCUCCUGUUCUCUAAAUAAGAGGUGCACCACUCCACUACCAUUGUCAACUCUCUCCUGACAUGAACUGAAGCCACGUCUCAUGUUCAUCCACUGGCACAUUGAAUGUUUCCUCUCCAACCACUUCAAAUCCUGUCCUGCACUGAAGUCAAGCCUCUGAACACCCGAACUCAUGCCUCACACAAUCACAACUGUGAUCUCUUCCCAACACGAUUUUUCACGUCACCAGCCUCCACUGGACUACAGACGGUAUCUUGAUGCAUGUAAGGAUAAAUCGACCAAAAACAGUGUGACCUCCCCCCAGCCAGCUGAAGUAAUGGAAAAAAUGGCGUUCACUACGGCCCUGUCCUGCACCACUUCUACCGUGAGACCUGUACACAGCAUCCAGUCGACGCUAUCAACUGCCUUUUCUCUCACGAGUGUGACAAGAGUCCAUGUGGAGUGAGCACGGAGAGAGAUCCCGUCCAAACUUGCGGUCUCAUGUGUCCUGGGAGGAAAAUGGACAAGACAUAAUGGACUGUAAAGGACAUUGGAGGCUCAGGUGACAGACAUUAUCAAGGGCCAUCCACCUUGAACAUGUGCUAUUGGGAGGAUGAACUGAAACACUAUCUGAAGCAGAACAUGAAGAAACGCCAGAAGAAGAGUACCCGGGGAAGGAGGGUGGCUGUCAACUGUGCCUGUAAAUGGUUUAUUCCACGUGUAACUGUGCUGUUGUUUGUGUCGCACUGCUUUGCUUUAUAUUGGCCAGCUCGCAGUUGUAAAUGAGAACUUGUUCUCAACAAGCUUACCUGCUUAAAUAAAAAAUAAAAAAUGGAUUUACUGUUGAUAAACUGUUUAUUUGGGCUAUCAUGUUGAUUUUGGAAGUCUACACACUGAGAAGCUUAUUGUAAUGUAGAUAAAAAUUAAUUGGGAUACCGAUCUGUCAUUAACAUGCCACUCACAACAGUGUAAGAUGGGGACAAACAGUAAUGAGAACAGUUAAUACUGGAAAUAUAAGUAGUACAUACUGUCUAUAUAUGGUUCCCUGUUUGUAAAUGUACAUUCUAACUGUGUCGUUGUGUGCUAAGUUGAGGGUCUUGAAUUUGAGUGAUAGACCCAAAGUGGGGCACUGAAGACUGACAUUAUACAUUUGGGUUGUAUAACAUUGAUCGUAGGGUGCAAACAUGUUAUGGGUAGAUGGAAGGAUUUAUGUGCAAAUGCCGGAGGCUAAGUACAUACAUAUAUGUUUGCAUAAGGGUGUUAGUUGCAGAGAUAGUUUUGUCAUUUCAGACACUAUUGUGACACUAUUGUGUCCCAGAAGGGAAGUUGGCUGUAGUAGUAGUAGUAGCAUCACAUCUCCUGCAGAGGGCGCCAAACGAUAGGUGACCAUUGCUGUACAUUCAUACCCCAGGGUGACUAUUGUAGUGGAGCAUCUGAAAGAACUCAGCGGUGAUCUCGCAAACGAACACCAACCAGACAACAAUUGGAAUCCGUUUGGAUGGGUUCAGUCAUUGUUUGGUGUUAGGGGGGCUACAAAAUUUCAUUGGUUGAUUACAUAUCUGAUAAAGAUGAUAAUCCUGAUCACCGAAAACCCUGAAUUAAUGGUGCAGCAUGUCCAUAGGCCAUGCUCAUUGCGGGGGUUCUGUAAACGGUGCUCCCAAGGUAGUGUUACCGUCAUGGUGACCCGCGGCAAUGUGGACAGUGUCAACGAAGUGAUUGCCUUGUGUGUGGUGAUAAAGAAUGUACUGAUGUUUAACAUUCAUAUGUUCCUUUCCCCCUUCUGAGAAUGAAUUGCAUGUGAAGUUUUG